UACGUAGGCGGAAUAAUAAGUCAGUGGUGAAAUCCUGCGGCUCAACCGUAGAACUGCCAUUGAAACUGUUAUUUUUGAAUGUAGUUGAGGUAGGCGGAAUGUGUAAUGUAGCGGUGAAAUGCUUAGAUAUUACACAGAACACCGAUUGCGAAGGCAGCUUACUAAACUAUGAUUGACGCUGAUGUACGAAAGCGUGGGGAGCGAACAGGAUUAGAUACCCUGGUAGUCC
This 229-nucleotide ribosomal RNA is filed under the name uncultured bacterium. RNAcentral's name for it is "partial 16S ribosomal RNA". It matches the Rfam family "Bacterial small subunit ribosomal RNA", at positions 568 to 796 of the family's 1533-position model. The record is from RNAcentral.